RNAcentral lists this long non-coding RNA (471 nucleotides) under Nicotiana benthamiana. RNAcentral's name for it is "long non-coding RNA (NBEN_LNC034580)". Lineage: Eukaryota; Viridiplantae; Streptophyta; Magnoliopsida; Solanales; Solanaceae. The record is from RNAcentral.
AUGUAACCAUGGUUACAUGUAUGUAACCUUAGUUAGCUCAUCAUUAACUAAGGUUACCCUUUUGGGUAUCUACACAUUAGUCCUACACUUUUACGACAAUAUAUUGGUCCCCUUAACAACGUCCAUAAGACCACCAAUUUAGGCCAAACCAAAAGAUAACACAUAACAUAUAAGUAAUCCAUAUAUUGUUCAUAUGUAUGUAGAUAUAAGUCCAUAUAUCUAACAAUAAAAAGUGAAGAAAAUAUAUCAUAGAAUAUGUCAUUGAACAUACAAAAUAUGUCAUUGAAUAUGUCAUUAAGCAUUUGAGAAGAAGAUCAUGGAAGAUGAAUAGACAUCCAACAUAAUAUGAUAUUUAUCAUAAUACUCUCCCUUUGGAUGUCCAUAGAUAAUGUGCCUCAUUAAAACCUUACUAGGAAAAAAUCCUAUGGGAAAAAAUUCUAGUGAAGGAAAAAGAGUACACAUGUAUAGAAA